This 409-nucleotide ribosomal RNA is filed under the name Pseudo-nitzschia fraudulenta. RNAcentral describes it as "partial Eukaryotic large subunit ribosomal RNA". It matches the Rfam family "Eukaryotic large subunit ribosomal RNA", at positions 23 to 427 of the family's 3401-position model. The record is from RNAcentral. Lineage: Eukaryota; Bacillariophyta; Bacillariophyceae; Bacillariales; Bacillariaceae.
ACCGGCCGAAUUUAAGCAUAUUAAUAAGCCGAGGAAAAGAAACUAACAAGGAUUCCCCUAGUAACGGCGAGUGAAGCGGGAAGAGCUCAAGUUGAGAAGCGUUGUCACUUGUGGCAUCGCGUUGUAAACUGAUGAGCGUGGGUCAGUGGUGGACCUGGGGGCAGGUUGUUUGGAACAACGCGUUAUAAAGGGUGAGAACCCCGUACAUACCCCGGAGAUCCCCACGUACGACUACGUUUCGAUGAGUCGUGUUGUUUGGGAUUGCAGCACUAAUUGGGAGGUAAGCUUCUUCCAAAGCUAAAUAUUAGCCGGAGACCGAUAGCGAACAAGUACCGCGAGGGAAAGAUGAAAAGGACUUUGAAAAGAGAGUCAAAGAGUGCUUGAAAUUGUCGGGAGGGAAGCGGAUGGG